AAACUUCACAGCUCGGCUGACCAUGAAGAAUAGAAUAAUUGUUAUAGAGAAGAACAAGACAUGGAAUAUUAUCUUUGUACACCAAAACUGAUCAACCACGAUCGGUUGUGUCAUGUGUUUUAAGUAUUCGAUAAUCAAAGUAGACAUGGAUGCCAUAAUCAACAUGUUGUGAAACCAUGCCAUGGUGACCACAUGUUGAAGUCAAUAUGCUGCUUUAGAAGAUCCCCUAGGUUUAAUUAGUUUGUUUUCAAGUAGUCUUAAGCAUUGCAAAGGAUAAAACUCUAUAGUACCUUGCCCAUAGAAUACUUUUAAGGAGCCAACAAUUUUAGCACCACAUAUUUUGGUCUUUUUUAUUUUUAUUUUUUGGACCUGGUUUACCAUAAGCUAAUUCUUAUGUAAUCGGAAAAACUGACCUCUUCUCUUUCCAAGUACUGAUCUUCGGACAGGAAAUCCACAGCUUCUGAUCCCAGGAAACAAUUGGUGAAUCUCCGCAGCUUAUAAAACCGGUCCUUUACAACAAUAGACUGUUUCAUUUUCUUAACAAUAAUAGCUAGCUCAUCCAUGGACCCACUACUAGACAAAUCAUCUUCACCGGAAAGAGGUGGUAGAGGAGCUUCAGCUCAUCCAUGGACCCAUUACUAGACAAAUCAUCUUCACCGGAAAGAGGUGGUAGAGGAGCUUCAAAAGAUGGUACUUCAUCAACAACAUAUUCAAUCUUCUCCAUGAGCUUUCCAGACUCAUCCAUGCUCUUUAAUUCACUCCAUCCACCUAUUAGAACUUCAUUAAAAAAUACUCGAGGAACAGAA
Molecule: long non-coding RNA, 806 nt
Filed under: Nicotiana benthamiana
Lineage: Eukaryota; Viridiplantae; Streptophyta; Magnoliopsida; Solanales; Solanaceae
Description: long non-coding RNA (NBEN_LNC024749)
Source: RNAcentral